UAGUAUGAUUUUAGCCGUAGAAAAGCUGAAGUGGUGGCUAUUCUGGAAGGGGAUGGUGCUUAUGAGUAAAUUUUAGCUCAUACUUGCAUAUCCUAAUAGAAAGGAGAAGCCCUCGUGUCUGUAUCCGAUGCGUUGCAGCUAAAGUUAGAGUUCGACACAUUUGUCGUAACACUAA
This 175-nucleotide small RNA is filed under the name Lactobacillus helveticus. RNAcentral's name for it is "Listeria sRNA rli28". The record is from RNAcentral. Lineage: Bacteria; Bacillati; Bacillota; Bacilli; Lactobacillales; Lactobacillaceae.